UACGUAGGGUGCGAGCGUUGUCCGGAAUUAUUGGGCGUAAAGAGCUCGUAGGCGGUCUGUCGCGUCUGCUGUGAAAACCUAGGGCUUAACUCUGGGCGUGCAGUGGGUACGGGCAGGCUAGAGUGCGGUAGGGGAGACUGGAAUUCCUGGUGUAGCGGUGAAAUGCGCAGAUAUCAGGAGGAACACCGGUGGCGAAGGCGGGUCUCUGGGCCGAUACUGACGCUGAGGAGCGAAAGCGUGGGGAGCGAACAGG
This 253-nucleotide ribosomal RNA is filed under the name uncultured bacterium. RNAcentral describes it as "partial 16S ribosomal RNA". It matches the Rfam family "Bacterial small subunit ribosomal RNA", at positions 524 to 776 of the family's 1533-position model. The record is from RNAcentral.